UAGGGAAUCUUGCGCAAUGGGCGAAAGCCUGACGCAGCGACGCCGCGUGCGGGAUGAAGGCCUUCGGGUCGUAAACCGCUUUCAGCAGGGACGAAAUUGACGGUACCUGCAGAAGAAGGCCGGCCAACUACGUGCCAGCAGCCGCGGUGAUACGUAGGGUCGUAGCGUUGUUCCGGCAAGAUUAUUGGGCGUAAAGAGCUCGUAGGCGGUUCGGCAAGUCGGAUGUGAAAUCUCCACGCUUAACGUGAAGGGCGCAUUCGAAACUGCCGUGACUCGAGUCCGGUAGGGAGUGCGGAAUUCCGGUGUAGCGGUGAAAUGCGCAGAUAUCGGGAGGAACACCAGUGGCGAAGGCGGAACUUC
RNAcentral lists this ribosomal RNA (360 nucleotides) under uncultured Actinomycetes bacterium. Its description in RNAcentral is "bacterial SSU rRNA". It matches the Rfam family "Bacterial small subunit ribosomal RNA", at positions 355 to 730 of the family's 1533-position model. Lineage: Bacteria; Bacillati; Actinomycetota; Actinomycetes. The record is from RNAcentral.